GCCGGACACGGUGGCACGUGCCUGUAGUCCCAGCUACUCCGGAGGCUGAGGUGGGAGGAUCGCUUGGGCCCAGGAGUUCUGGACUGUAGUACGCUAUGCCCAUCGGGUGUCCACACUAAGUUCGGCAUUAAUAUGGUGACCUCCCAGGAGCGGGGGACCACCAGGUUGCCUAAGGAGGGGUGAACCGGCCCAGGUCGGAAAUGGAGCAGGUCAAAACUCCCAUGCUGAUCAGUAGUGGGAUGCACCUGUGAAUAGCCAUUGCACUCCAGCCUGGGCAACAUAGCGAGAUCCCAUUUCU
Molecule: signal recognition particle RNA, 298 nt
Filed under: Cebus imitator (Panamanian white-faced capuchin)
Lineage: Eukaryota; Metazoa; Chordata; Mammalia; Primates; Cebidae
Description: Metazoan signal recognition particle RNA (ENSCCAG00000004109.1)
Rfam family: Metazoan signal recognition particle RNA
About the family: The signal recognition particle (SRP) is a universally conserved ribonucleoprotein. It is involved in the co-translational targeting of proteins to membranes.
Source: RNAcentral